This 457-nucleotide ribosomal RNA is filed under the name uncultured bacterium. RNAcentral's name for it is "bacterial SSU rRNA". It matches the Rfam family "Bacterial small subunit ribosomal RNA", at positions 340 to 786 of the family's 1533-position model. The record is from RNAcentral.
UACGGGAGGCAGCAGUGGGGAAUAUUGCACAAUGGGCGAAAGCCUGAUGCAGCUAUGCCGCGUGUAUGAAGAAGGCCUUAGGGUUGUAAAGUACUUUCAGCAGGGAGGAAAGAAUAAAACUAAUAAUUUUAUUUUGUGACGUUACCUGAAGAAGAAGCACCGGCUAACUCCGUGCCAGCAGCCGCGGUAAUACGGAGGGUGCAAGCGUUAAUCAGAAUUACUGGGCGUAAAGAGCGCGUAGGUGGUUUUUUUAAAGUCAGAUGUGAAAUCCCUAGGCUUAACCUAGGAACUGCAUUUUGAAACUGAAAAACUAGAGUAUCGUAGAGGGAGGUAGAAUUCUAGGUGUAGCGGUGAAAUGCGUAGAUAUCUGGAGGAAUACCUGUGGCGAAAGCGGCCUCCUAAACGAAUACUGACACUGAGGUGCGAAAGCGUGGGGAGCAAACAGGGAUUAGAUACC